RNAcentral lists this ribosomal RNA (492 nucleotides) under uncultured bacterium. RNAcentral describes it as "partial 16S ribosomal RNA". It matches the Rfam family "Bacterial small subunit ribosomal RNA", at positions 29 to 507 of the family's 1533-position model. The record is from RNAcentral.
AGUGAACGCUGGCGGUAGGCCUAACACAUGCAAGUCGAACGGCAGCACAGUAAGAGCUUGCUCUUACGGGUGGCGAGUGGCGGACGGGUGAGGAAUACAUCGGAAUCUACUUUUUCGUGGGGGAUAACGUAGGGAAACUUACGCUAAUACCGCAUACGACCUACGGGUGAAAGCAGGGGAUCUUCGGACCUUGCGCGAUUGAAUGAGCCGAUGUCGGAUUGGCUAGUUGGCGGGGUAAAGGCCCACCAAGGCGACGAUCCGUAGCUGGUCUGGGAGGAUGAUCAGCCACACUGGGACUGAGACACGGUCCAGACUCCUACGGGAGGCAGCAGUGGGGAAUAUUGGACAAUGGGCGCAAGCCUGAUCCAGCCAUACCGCGUGGGUGAAGAAGGCCUUCGGGUUGUAAAGCCCUUUUGUGGGGAAAGAAAAGCAGCAGGUUAAUACCCCGCUGUUCUGACGGUACCCAAAGAAUAAGCACCGGCUAACUUCGUG